UGUUGUCGUCAUCGUGAGGACUGUGC
Molecule: non-coding RNA, 26 nt
Filed under: Mus musculus (house mouse)
Lineage: Eukaryota; Metazoa; Chordata; Mammalia; Rodentia; Muridae
Source: RNAcentral